Molecule: ribosomal RNA, 253 nt
Filed under: uncultured bacterium
Lineage: Bacteria
Description: partial 16S ribosomal RNA
Rfam family: Bacterial small subunit ribosomal RNA
Source: RNAcentral
UACAGAGGGGGCAAGCGUUGUUCGGAAUUACUGGGCGUAAAGGGCGCGUAGGCGGUCUGCUAAGUCGAACGUGAAAUCCCCGGGCUCAACCCGGGAACUGCGUCCGAUACUGGCAGGCUUGAAUCCGGGAGAGGGAUGCGGAAUUCCAGGUGUAGCGGUGAAAUGCGUAGAUAUCUGGAGGAACACCGGUGGCGAAGGCGGCAUCCUGGACCGGUAUUGACGCUGAGGCGCGAAAGCCAGGGGAGCAAACGGG